Molecule: ribosomal RNA, 253 nt
Filed under: uncultured bacterium
Lineage: Bacteria
Description: partial 16S ribosomal RNA
Rfam family: Bacterial small subunit ribosomal RNA
Source: RNAcentral
UACGGGGGGGGCAAGCGUUGUUCGGAAUUACUGGGCGUAAAGGGCUCGUAGGCGGCCAACUAAGUCAGACGUGAAAUCCCUCGGCUUAACCGGGGAACUGCGUCUGAUACUGGAUGGCUUGAGUUUGGGAGAGGGAUGCGGAAUUCCUGGUGUAGCGGUGAAAUGCGCAGAUAUCAGGAGGAACACCGGUGGCGAAGGCGGGUCUCUGGGCCGUAACUGACGCUGAGGAGCGAAAGCAUGGGGAGCGAACAGG